ACUGAACGCUGGCGGCAGGCCUAACACAUGCAAGUCGAGCGGAUGAAGGGAGCUUGCUCCUGGAUUCAGCGGCGGACGGGUGAGUAAUGCCUAGGAAUCUGCCUGGUAGUGGGGGAUAACGUCCGGAAACGGGCGCUAAUACCGCAUACGUCCUGAGGGAGAAAGUGGGGGAUCUUCGGACCUCACGCUAUCAGAUGAGCCUAGGUCGGAUUAGCUAGUUGGUGGGGUAAAGGCCUACCAAGGCGACGAUCCGUAACUGGUCUGAGAGGAUGAUCAGUCACACUGGAACUGAGACACGGUCCAGACUCCUACGGGAGGCAGCAGUGGGGAAUAUUGGACAAUGGGCGAAAGCCUGAUCCAGCCAUGCCGCGUGUGUGAAGAAGGUCUUCGGAUUGUAAAGCACUUUAAGUUGGGAGGAAGGGCAGUAAGUUAAUACCUUGCUGUUUUGACGUUACCAACAGAAUAAGCACCGGCUAACUUCGU
This 483-nucleotide ribosomal RNA is filed under the name uncultured bacterium. Its description in RNAcentral is "partial 16S ribosomal RNA". It matches the Rfam family "Bacterial small subunit ribosomal RNA", at positions 30 to 506 of the family's 1533-position model. The record is from RNAcentral.